RNAcentral lists this unclassified non-coding RNA (315 nucleotides) under plant metagenome. Its description in RNAcentral is "partial contains 5.8S ribosomal RNA, internal transcribed spacer 2, and large subunit ribosomal RNA". The stretch from base 1 to 106 matches the Rfam family "5.8S ribosomal RNA", at positions 50 to 154 of the family's 154-position model. The record is from RNAcentral.
GAAAUGCGAUAAUUAAUGUGAAUUGCAGAAUUCAGUGAAUCAUCGAGUCUUUGAACGCAGAUUGCGCCCCCUGGUAUUCCGGGGGGGCAUGCCUGUCCGAGCGUCAUUGCUGCCCUCAAGCACGGCUUGUGUGUUGGGCUUCCGUCCCUGGCAACGGGGACGGGCCCAAAAGGCAGUGGCGGCACCAUGUCUGGUCCUCGAGCGUAUGGGGCUUUGUCACCCGCUCCCGUAGGUCCAGCUGGCAGCUAGCCUCGCAACCAAUCUUUUUAACCAGGUUGACCUCGGAUCAGGUAGGGAUACCCGCUGAACUUAAGC